RNAcentral lists this ribosomal RNA (520 nucleotides) under uncultured bacterium. RNAcentral's name for it is "bacterial SSU rRNA". It matches the Rfam family "Bacterial small subunit ribosomal RNA", at positions 8 to 518 of the family's 1533-position model. The record is from RNAcentral.
AGAGUUUGAUCAUGGCUCAGGAUGAACGCUAGCUACAGGCUUAACACAUGCAAGUCGAGGGGCAGCAUUAAGUUAGCUUGCUAACUUAGAUGGCGACCGGCGCACGGGUGAGUAACGCGUAUCCAACCUUCCCCCUGCUCAGGGAUAGCCCGCUGAAAGGCGGAUUAACACCUGAUAGCUUCACUAGAUGGCAUCUGACGGUGAAUAAAGAUAACGGCAAGGGAUGGGGAUGCGUCUGAUUAGCUUGUUGGCGGGGUAACGGCCCACCAAGGCGACGAUCAGUAGGGGUUCUGAGAGGAAGGUCCCCCACAUUGGAACUGAGACACGGUCCAAACUCCUACGGGAGGCAGCAGUGAGGAAUAUUGGUCAAUGGGCGGAAGCCUGAACCAGCCCAAGUAGCGUGCAGGAAGACGGCCCUAUGGGUUGUAAACUGCUUUUGUACGGGAAUAAAGUGACCCACGUGUGGGUUUUUGCAUGUACCGUAAGAAUAAGGACCGGCUAAUUCCGUGCCAGCCGCGGC